GACGGAGGAUGCAAGUGUUAUCCGGAAUCACUGGGCGUAAAGCGUCUGUAGGUCGUUUAAAAAGUCUACUGUUAAAAAUUGAAGCUUAACUUCAAAGGUGCCGUAGAAACUUUUAAACUUGAGUAUGGUAGGGGUAGAGGGAAUUUCCAGUGGAGCGGUGAAAUGCGUAGAUAUUGGAAAGACCACCAAUGGCGAAGGCACUCUACUGGGCCAUUACUGACACUGAGAGACGAAAGCUAGGGAGCAAAUGGG
This 252-nucleotide ribosomal RNA is filed under the name uncultured bacterium. RNAcentral's name for it is "partial 16S ribosomal RNA". It matches the Rfam family "Bacterial small subunit ribosomal RNA", at positions 524 to 776 of the family's 1533-position model. The record is from RNAcentral.